Molecule: long non-coding RNA, 3016 nt
Organism: Beta vulgaris subsp. vulgaris (sugar beet)
Lineage: Eukaryota; Viridiplantae; Streptophyta; Magnoliopsida; Caryophyllales; Amaranthaceae
Exons: 2
Source: RefSeq, a predicted model, not a curated record
UGGUAAAAGCUGUUAUGUCUUUUAAGUAUAUGAAUUGCACCUUGUAUAUUGUGUAUUACAUACGUAUCUCUCACUGUCACAUAUUAUGUGAAGAAGUGAGAACUUUUAUGAAGAAAUUAUACAUUGUAGCCUACAAGUUUCAAUUUUUUUACAUGUUGGCAGGGCAAAAAAAUUAUUAUACAAAGUCACCCUUAAGUUCCUGAUAGUCUACAUAGUGGCCUUUAAUACUGCACUUCACCCUUAAACAACCUAACCACCACCCUAACACCCAAAAACGCCCCUUUCUCUCUCAUCUUUCCACCACUCAUCUUUCCACCGCUCAUCUUUCCACCGCUCAUCUUUCUCUCUUCUCAACUUUCUGAAUCAAAUACAAGCGCGAAUGAUACAAGCUCAACUUGACACGAAUUUGUUAUUUGAUUCUCAUGACGGUGUCGGAGAUUCCGCUGGUGCCGAACUCGAUGAGACACUCGUUAGGUUCAGUGCGGCAGUUGAGAAAGAGCUCCAAAAUGUUGAGAUCUUGAAGAAUGGCGAAAUUGUAAGGAUCGCAAGAGAAGUUGCCUAAAAUUGCGACGGUUUUUUCCUUGGUUUAGGAUAUUGUGGGAUUUUGGAACUAGGUAACUAAUUGUUAGAGGUGCUCGUGUGAUGCGUGGUGGUUUCUUGGGGUGUUUCGAGGGCAGUGGGAAUGGUUUAGUGGGUGCUGUGGUGGUGGUUCGUGGUGGUUUCAAUGGGAGAGGGGGUGGUUUGUGGGUGUUGUGGUGGUCGGGUUUUGAGUGGCAGAGGAGGUGAUUUGUGGGGUUCGGCGGGUGUUCGAAUGGUGGUAGCAUUGGUUGAUGUAGGGAUGCUAAGGAUGUUGGGCGGUGGUGGUGCUGCUGUGGUGGCUUAGCGUGGUUUAGAGAGAGAAAGGGGAUGGGGAGAAGAGAGAAAAGGGAGGAGAUAGGAGAGAGAAAUGGCUAGAGUUUAAUUGUUGAGCCACCUAUUAAUGAAAUAAGGCCACUAUGUAGAAUUUUCCAAACUUAGGAGUCACUUUGUAAUUUUGUAUAAUAUUUUUUUUCCUUGCCACCAUAUAGAAAAGUUGAAACUUGAAGGUCACCAUUUAAAAUUUCCCAGUUUUCUAUUGUGAUUUGGUGCAAGUGACUAAAAUCUUGGACAAGAAUUAAGGUGUGAGAUAGCAGAUGGAAAGACCACUGGCUAUAAUGUUUAGAUUCAGUGUCACCCUUGGGUAUUGACUAUUAGUCGAGAAUUUGAAAUGGACAAGUAGAGGAUGACUUGGAAUAGGAAAGUUUAUUCUCUUUACUGGAAGAUAUUGGGACAUGAUUGCUAGUAUUGAGCGUUAUAGUAUGGAAACGCAAUCAAGAAAUACUCUCCUUUCUUUGAUGCAGAUUGUAAGGGACAUGAUUAAGUGCUGCCAUGGGGUUAGAACCCAUAUAGCUUAGAGUGUGAACUAGGGUCAGAACUAUUAGAACAGCGCGACAUGGAGCUCUACUUGUCAGAAGGGAAAAAUUGGUUUGGAUUCACCAACAAUUUUCAAAAGGAGUAGCUUAUAAACCAUGUUUAGAUCAACGCAAUCAAAGGGACUAGCAAAUAGGGAUAGACAUAAGGUGCGAUUUGACCUUAAAAAACCCGAAGAAGAUGAUUAAUUGGUUCUAACCAGAUAUGGAUUUGAGGGUGAAGGUAGUAUGAUGACGGAAUGCUAUAAGAGCCUGUAUGACAGCCUCUACUAAUUUACCUCUAUAUGUGCAAUGUUUGGACGAUUAAAGCUUGCCCACAUUUACCAAAUUUUAGCAUCUGAAAUUUGAUUAGUGCAGCCAAAAAAACUCUCAAUUUUUGCCAAAUUCCCAUAAUUAGUAUGGUUAAAAGGCACUAACAUGAGAUCUAAAUUUUUCCAUAGUUUAGAUGCUAAUUAGUGGUUAAAAUUUUCGAUUCAAUCCGUUUUAACAAUAGUAAUGUGGAAAAGCCAUGUCAUUUACAGGUGAUAUCAUCUGCAUGUUAUAAUAAAGAAAUUGAAGAGAAAGAAUGACAUUAGAAAGGAGUUUUUGUUUUGAAGCCCUCGGAACAUCCGUCAUCAUUGUUAGAAGACUUUUGAUCACUGUAUAGUACUAUUGAAGAGGAAGAGGAAUUUUUUUUGAUCUUAUUCUUGAAUGUGGUUUGUGUUUGAUGUUUGUUAAGCGCUUGAUUUGGAGAGAAGAAGAGAGAAGAAUGAUCUUUAAAGUCUAUUAUGCAUAAUAUUGAAUGAUCUGAUACGGACGUGCAAGGGAGUAUAUAUAGGGUAAUAAGCCAAGCUCCUGGCGUUAUCUUGGAGAAUAAGGAAUAAUAGGUGGCACUGACUAUCCUUUAGCGCGGUCUGCACUUUGCACUCUGCACUCUGCACUCUGCACUCUGCACAGGACAGUGACCUGACAAACUUUUUCUUUUAGCUUUGUUUAGGCGCCAGUUAUGUAGCAUUUAGCGAUAUACAUCAUGUUGGUUCAACAAUUGGCCUUAAGAUUCAGACAGGGAAAUCUAUUUCCUCAUGUCUGAGAUAAGAUUGUUUUGAUUCCCGAGCCUUUUCUUUCUUGUUCGUGGAUUGUCUAUCCUCAUUUUCCCAUCCCUCAUCAUUCAGGUGUGUGCAUCAUAUUCAUGCCACAAGGUAGUCCAAAACUCCAAACUGAGGGAAAUGCUGUGAACCUACUAAAAAACCAGAAACUCCCUUCCAUGAUUCUUCAAAUUAAGAGGUCCAUAGAGAAGCAGUGUGCAGUGCUGAUUUGGCAGGAAAAUCUGAUGGAGUUGGUUAUUGUUCUGGCUUCGAGUGUUCGAGGCUUAGAGGGUUAAGUGGGGGAGGGGGUUUAGCUGCUUUGUUCUGUAUCUGAAGUGCUAGGUCUGGUAUGCUUUGUAAAACUAAGCUCUAUUCCAGAAUGGUUUGAUUGGAAUUGUAGGGUUGGCUUGGUAUCAUACUAUCAUUUGGAUUUUCGGUUUUGAGCGUUUACUUCCAUUCUUUUAUAAAUGAAUAUUUAGAUAUCAGAUUGCACUUUAUGUCUUA